Molecule: long non-coding RNA, 1374 nt
Filed under: Triticum aestivum (bread wheat)
Lineage: Eukaryota; Viridiplantae; Streptophyta; Magnoliopsida; Poales; Poaceae
Description: long non-coding RNA (TAES_LNC026186)
Source: RNAcentral
UAUUCUUGCCUCAAUAAUGACAAACCCAGUGCUAAGCUUCCACACCAGGACCUCUCGAGACAAAUGGGGAGUAUUUCACCCACUCGAAUACAUUCAUAAAAAAAGUAUCAAUUUGCUCGCUCAAAAAAAACUAAAUUUGUUCGCAAAAGGCAUCCCUAAACACUUGGAUACAUGCAGUGCGGAAACAAUCCCCUCGCCCAGCAUCUCGGACAAACUCCCAUCAAGAUGAACACAUACCUGCACAGUUCCUGAUUUGUUACUCCAUGAAACAUACAAUUAUUUUCUUUCUAGAAUACACUUAAUAUUUAAAAAAAUAGGUAAACAUGUUUUAGCAAAUUCUCCCAUCCAUUUUAACAGCUUCUUUGAUGUUCCUUUCUUGCUCUGCAAUAAAUGAAGUACAGGUCCCGACGCCGCUUAAUCAUGCAGAGCUCAUAAUUUAGAAACUUUCCAGCCCAUUCGGUAACACCAUACAUGAUUAUCUCACAUUGCACAGCCUACAGAUGAUGAAACACGUUAAAGAUCGUCAGCUACAAUGGUUAAAGAUUGUACGCACAUAUAUAAAUUGAUAAUUAGGUUUUGAUAAAAAUCAAAACAGAGUACCAUAUCCUGUUGAGACCGUGAUGGCACAUACUGAAGUUCAUAGAUAUCUAAAAUUGCUAGGUUAUGAAUUAUCCUUUUGGAACGUUGCACACGUGCAAGUGCACAGUCAAACUAUGGGCCAGUUCUUUUGGGCGAUUCUACCAGAAUCGCCCCCCUCCGUAGCUUCUCCCAGAAUUAUCACUCCUUAUGUUUUUCACAAUCCUAGCUAAUUAGACCUUAACUAGAUAGGAUUGUAAAAAAAUAUGAAGUGGCGAUUCUUGAAGAAGCUGGGGAGGGGGGCGAUUCUGGGAGAAUCGCCGAAAAGAACUGGCCUAUAUGCAUCAACAUAUGACUCAAUUAUUCAUGACAUAUAGGACUGCCACGAGGAUCAAAUAGAUAACAAUUAUGAGCAAAUGGUGUUGUGUGACAUCUCCCAACUCGAUUAAUCAAAUUUUUUUGUUACUGAAUUAUCCAUAUGUGAAAAUUUCAAUGUAGAACUAAGUUAUUUUUGUAUAGAGAACUUCUUCCUUGGUUCGCAAAGAGGUUCAGCAGCCAUCCUAAAUGAGCAAUGAAACAUACCUUGAAUUACUUGAGCAAAGAAGAUGUGGAUUAGUGGUAAAGCUUCGCAAGCUGUUGCACUCGCCCAAACAAAUCAGAAACCAAAUCAGUUCUAAUUAAUCCGCUAAAAAAUAUAAGAAAAUAAAAUUCAAGAUUUACCAUCAAAUAGCUUGAAAUGUGAACAUGUGUGAAUCAAGAGAGGCCCAUUGUUUAAUCCAUUGCAAAUAUAUCGAGAAC